UCCUCUCCUCCUCCUCUCCCCUUCCUCUCCCCUUCCUCUCCUCCUCCUCUCCCCUUCCUCUCCCCCUCCUCUCCCCUUCCUCUCCCCUUCCUCUCCUCCUCCUCUCCCCUUCCUCUCCCCUUCCUCUCCUCCUCCUCUCCCCUUCCUCUCCCCUUCCUCUCCCCUUCCUCUCCCCUUCCUCUCCCCUUCCUCUCCCCCUCCUCUCCUCCUCCAAUGCUGUUGUAAAGGAUCUCCAUUCUCAGGUUGUUAACAGGUCUAUAUUUGGGUUGGAUUGUUUAUAGUGGUGUCUGUAUUAACAUCAUAUAGCUUUGUCCAACUCCAGUAGGAUUAUAAUCUAUGAAUCUCCUUCUCAUUAAAUAUAACCUCUGGUUUAAACUCUCAUUCCUUACUCUGUCCGCCUGUCAAUCCCUCUCCCUGCAUCAAAGCUUUAGUGACUUAGUUAACUCUGGUUCAGCUGCCUGAGUUGCUCUGGUUUAGCUGCCUGAGUUGCUCUGGUUCAGCUGCCUGAGUUGCUCUGGUUCAGCUGCCUGAGUUGCUCUGGUUUAGCUGCCUGAGUUGCUCUGGUUCAGCUGCCUGAGUUGCUCUGGUUCAGCUGCCUGAGUUGCUCUGGUUCAGCUGCCUGAGUUGCUCUGGUUCAGCUGCCUGAGUUGCUCUGGUUCAGCUGCCUGAGUUGCUCUGGUUCAGCUGCCUGAGUUGCUCUGGUUUAGCUGCCUGAGUUGCUCUGGUUCAGCUGCCUGAGUUGCUCUGGUUCAGCUGCCUGAGUUGCUCUGGUUUAGCUGCCUGAGUUGCUCUGGUUCAGCUGCCUGAGUUGCUCUGGUUUAGCUGCCUGAGUUGCUCUGGUUUAGCUGCCUGAGUUACCUGGCUGUUGGAUGGAAUUUGUAUGAAUGUUCUGUGAUGGUUGUAUGGAUGUUCUGUGAUGGUUGUGUGGAUGUUCUGUGAUGGUUGUGUGGAUGUUCUGUGAUGGUUGUAUGAUGUUCUGUGAUGGUUGUAUGGAUGUUCUGUGAUGGUUGUAUGGAUGUUCUGUGGUGGUUGUACGGAUGUUCUGUGAUGGUUGUAUGGAUGUUCUGUGAUGGUUGUGUGAAUGUUCUGUGAUGGUUGUAUGAAUGUUCUGUGAUGGUUGUAUGGAUGUUCUGUGAUGGUUGUAUGAAUGUUCUGUGAUCGUUGUAUGGAUGUUCUGUGAUGGUUGUAUGGAUGUUCUGUGAUGGUUGUAUGGAUGUUCUGUGAUGGUUGUGUGAAUGUUCUGUGAUGGUUGUAUGGAUGUUCUGUGAUGGUUGUAUGGAUGUUCUGUGGUGGUUGUAUGGAUGUUCUGUGAUGGUUGUAUGGAUGUUCUGUGAUGGUUGUGUGAAUGUUCUGUGAUGGUUGUAUGGAUGUUCUGUGAUGGUUGUAUGGAUGUUCUGUGAUGGUUGUAUGGAUGUUCUGUGGUGGUUGUAUGGAUGUUAUAUUGUGGUUGUAUGGAUGUUCUGUGGUGGUUGUAUGAAUGUUCUGUGAUGGUUGUAUGGAUGUUCUGUGGUGGUUGUAUGAAUGUUCUGUGAUGGUUGUAUGGAUGUUCUGUGAUGGUUGUAUGAAUGUUCUGUGGUGGUUGUAUGGAUGUUCUGUGAUGGUUGUAUGAAUGUUCUGUGAUGGUUGUGUGAAUGUUCUGUGAUGGUUGUAUGGAUGUUCUGUGAUGGUUGUAUGAAUGUUCUGUGGUGGUUGUAUGGAUGUUCUGUGAUGGUUGUAUGGAUGUUCUGUGAUGGUUGUAUGGAUGUUCUGUGAUGGUUGUAUGGAUGUUCUGUGAUGGUUGUAUGAAUGUUCUGUGAUGGUUGUGUGAAUGUUCUGUGAUGGUUGUAUGAUGUUCUGUGAUGGUUGUAUGAAUGUUCUGUGAUGGUUGUAUGAAUGCUCUGUGAUGGUUGUAUGAAUGUUCUGUGAUGGUUGUAUGGAUGUUAUGAGAUGGUUGUGUGGAUGUUAGAUGUUGUAUGAAUGUUCUGUGAUGGUUGUAUGAUGUUCUGUGAUGGUUGUAUGGAUGUUCUGUGAUGGUUGUAUGAAUGCUCUGUGAUGGUUGUAUGAAUGUUCUGUGAUGGUUGUAUGGAUGUUAUGAGAUGGUUGUGUGGAUGUUAGAUGUUGUAUGAAUGUUCUGUGAUGGUUGUGUGAAUGUUCUGUGAUGGUUGUGUGAAUGUUCUGUGAUGGUUGUGUGAAUGUUCUGUGAUGGUUGUAUGAAUGUUCUGUGAUGGUUGUGUGGAUGUUCUGUGAUGUUGUAUGAAUGUUAGGAGAUGGUUGUGUGGAUGUUCUGUGAUGGUUGUGUGGAUGUUAGGAGAUGGUUGUAUGAAUGUUAGGAGAUGGUUGUGUGGAUGUUCAGUGAUGGUUGUGUGAAUGUUCUGUGAUGGUUGUGUGAAUGUUCUGUGAUGGUUGUGUGAAUGUUCUGUGAUGGUUGUGUGAAUGUUCUGUGAUAGUUGUAUGAAUGUUCUGUGAUGGUUGUGUGGCUGUUCUGAGAUGGUUGUGUGGAUGUUAGGAGAUGGUUGUGUGGAUGUUCCUCCCAAUACAUUGAGGUUGACAGGUCUUCUCAGUGUUCUCUGACCCUGAGGUAGGACUAGGGGUCAGGGUGAGGUAGGGCUAGGGGUCAGGGUGAGGUAGGGCUAGUGGUCAGGGUGAGGUAGGGUUAGUGAGGUAGGGCUAGGGGACAGGGUUAGUGAGGUAGGGCUAGGGGUCAGGGUGAGGUAGGACUAGGGGUCAGGGUGAGGUAGGGUUAG
This 2723-nucleotide long non-coding RNA is filed under the name Salmo salar (Atlantic salmon). RNAcentral describes it as "lncRNA (ENSSSAG00000111559.1)". The record is from RNAcentral. Lineage: Eukaryota; Metazoa; Chordata; Actinopteri; Salmoniformes; Salmonidae.